GACGAACGCUGGCGGCGUGCCUAAUACAUGCAAGUAGAACGCUGAAGGAGGAGCUUGCUUCUCUGGAUGAGUUGCGAACGGGUGAGUAACGCGUAGGUAACCUGCCUGGUAGCGGGGGAUAACUAUUGGAAACGAUAGCUAAUACCGCAUAAGAGUAGAUGUUGCAUGACAUUUGCUUAAAAGGUGCAAUUGCAUCACUACCAGAUGGACCUGCGUUGUAUUAGCUAGUUGGUGGGGUAACGGCUCACCAAGGCGACGAUACAUAGCCGACCUGAGAGGGUGAUCGGCCACACUGGGACUGAGACACGGCCCAGACUCCUACGGGAGGCAGCAGUAGGGAAUCUUCGGCAAUGGACGGAAGGCUGACCGAGCAACGCCGCGUGAGUGAAGAAGGGUUUCGGAUCGUAAAGCUCUGUUGUAAGAGAAGAACGAGUGUGAGAGUGGAAAGUUCACACUGUGACGGUAUCUUACCAGAAAGGGACGGCUAACUACGUG
This 495-nucleotide ribosomal RNA is filed under the name uncultured bacterium. RNAcentral describes it as "partial 16S ribosomal RNA". It matches the Rfam family "Bacterial small subunit ribosomal RNA", at positions 28 to 507 of the family's 1533-position model. The record is from RNAcentral.